GACGAACGCUGGCGGCGUGCUUAACACAUGCAAGUCGAACGGAAAGGCCUUUUCGGCGGUUCUCGAGUGGGGAACGGGUGAGUAACACGUGGGUGAUUCGCCCUGCACUCUGGGGUAAGCGUGGGAAACUGGGUGCAAUACCGGAUAGGACCGCACGGUAGAGAGUGUGGUGGAAUGUGAUUUCGGUGUAGGAUGAGUCCGUGGCCUAACAGCUUGUGUGGGGGGUAAUGGGGUACCACGGCGCCGACGGGUAGCCGGACUGAGAGGUUGGUAGGCCACACUGGGACUGAGGGGCGGCCGAGAUGCCGACGGGAGGCAGAAGGGGGGAAUAUUGCACAAUGGGUGCAAGCCGGAUGCAGAGAGGCCGCGGAGGGGAUGACGGCCUUCGGGUUGUAAAAGCCUUUUGCCAGGGACGAAGCGUUUUGUGACGUUACCUGGAGAAGAAGCACCGGCUAACUACGUG
This 463-nucleotide ribosomal RNA is filed under the name uncultured bacterium. RNAcentral's name for it is "partial 16S ribosomal RNA". It matches the Rfam family "Bacterial small subunit ribosomal RNA", at positions 28 to 507 of the family's 1533-position model. The record is from RNAcentral.